GGCAGGUUGCCCGAGUGGCCAAAGGGAGCGGUCUGUAAAACCGUCGGCGUUGUCCUACGUUGGUUCAAAUCCAACACCUGCCACAA
Molecule: transfer RNA, 86 nt
Filed under: Tessaracoccus aquimaris
Lineage: Bacteria; Bacillati; Actinomycetota; Actinomycetes; Propionibacteriales; Propionibacteriaceae
Description: tRNA-Tyr
Rfam family: tRNA
About the family: Transfer RNA (tRNA) molecules are approximately 80 nucleotides in length. Their secondary structure includes four short double-helical elements and three loops (D, anti-codon, and T loops).
Source: RNAcentral